Globicephala melas (long-finned pilot whale) is the source of this 702-nucleotide non-coding RNA. The record is from RefSeq and is a predicted model, not a curated record. NCBI's taxonomy places the organism in Eukaryota, Metazoa, Chordata, Mammalia, Artiodactyla, Delphinidae.
CCCUGGUGGUGCAGUGGUUGAGAGUCUGCCUGCCGAUGCAGGGGACGCGGAUUCGUGCCCCCGUCCGGGAAGAUCCCACAUGCUGCGGAGCGGCUGGGCCCGUGAGCCAUGGCCGCUGAGCCUGAGCGUCCGGAACCUGUGCUCCGCAACGGGAGAGGCCACAACAGUGAGAGGCCCGUGUACCGCAAAAAAAAAAAACAACUCCGUUUCAAUUUAAUUUUUCUUGAGGAGAACCUUCGUACCAGAACCACACAAUGAAGAACUUGGAGUCCCCGUGGCUAAUCCAGCAGAGAGAAAAGGAGAAACAGAGAUGCGAGAGAAAAUAAAUGGAACUCUUGGUGCUGCUGCAGGCCCAAGUCCAGCUCGAGAGAGGCUAUAUUCAUCUGUGGUAAUUACUGCUGUGUUUCCUGAACAUGCCUAUAAAACAUACUGAAGAAGGGUGCCUGAAAUUUGGUAAGGGAUCCAUCAAUUUUCUUGGCUGAAUGGAGAAAUAUGUUCAUAAAUUAAUGAACAAAUCUCUGGGGUUUCUGAAUUAAGGACUAAUGGGAAGAGGAAGGCAAAUGGUUGGGACAGGGUACUGCAAGAAGUAGUAUUUGGAGUACUCUGAUAGCUAUCCUAAUAGAUAACAUUUUGUUCAUUAAAAUAGUUUUAAUGAGAGAGCUGGGAACUAGGGACACACAGCAUCAAGGUUUUAUAAUGCAU